UGGGGAAUAUUGGGCAAUGGGCGAAAGCCUGACCCAGCAACGCCGCGUGAUUGAAGAAGGUCUUCGGAUUGUAAAGAUCUGUCCUUGGGGACGAAAAAAAUGACGGUACCCAAGGAGGAAGCCCCGGCUAACUACGUGCCAGCAGCCGCGGUAAUACGUAGGGGGCGAGCGUUGUCCGGAAUUACUGGGCGUAAAGGGUGCGCAGGCGGUUUUUUAAGUCAGAUGUGAAAUACCCGGGCUUAACCUGGGGGGUGCAUUUGAAACUGGAAGACUUGAGUGCAGGAGAGGAAAGUGGAAUUCCUAGUGUAGCGGUGAAAUGCGUAGAUAUUAGGAGGAACACCAGUGGCGAAGGCGACUUUCUGGACUGUAACUGACGCUGAGGCACGAAAGCGUGGGGAGCAAACA
This 405-nucleotide ribosomal RNA is filed under the name uncultured prokaryote. RNAcentral describes it as "bacterial SSU rRNA". It matches the Rfam family "Bacterial small subunit ribosomal RNA", at positions 355 to 774 of the family's 1533-position model. The record is from RNAcentral.